UACACUCCUGCGGGAGGCAGCAGUGGGGAAUUUUGGACAAUGGGCGAAAGCCUGAUCCAGCAAUGCCGCGUGAGUGAAGAAGGCCUUCGGGUUGUAAAGCUCUUUUGUCAGGGAAGAAACGGUGAAAGCUAAUAUCUUUUGCUAAUGACGGUACCUGAAGAAUAAGCACCGGCUAACUACGUGCCAGCAGCCGCGGUAAUACGUAGGGUGCAAGCGUUAAUCGGAAUUACUGGGCGUAAAGCGUGCGCAGGCGGUUUUGUAAGUCUGAUGUGAAAUCCCCGGGCUCAACCUGGGAAUUGCAUUGGAGACUGCAAGGCUAGAAUCUGGCAGAGGGGGGUAGAAUUCCACGUGUAGCAGUGAAAUGCGUAGAUAUGUGGAGGAACACCGAUGGCGAAGGCAGCCCCCUGGGUCAAGAUUGACGCUCAUGCACGAAAGCGUGGGGAGCAAACAGGAUUAGAUACCCUAGUAGUCCC
This 473-nucleotide ribosomal RNA is filed under the name uncultured organism. RNAcentral's name for it is "partial 16S ribosomal RNA". It matches the Rfam family "Bacterial small subunit ribosomal RNA", at positions 332 to 797 of the family's 1533-position model. The record is from RNAcentral.